This 458-nucleotide ribosomal RNA is filed under the name Delftia sp. oral taxon A59. Its description in RNAcentral is "bacterial SSU rRNA". It matches the Rfam family "Bacterial small subunit ribosomal RNA", at positions 30 to 490 of the family's 1533-position model. The record is from RNAcentral. Lineage: Bacteria; Pseudomonadati; Pseudomonadota; Betaproteobacteria; Burkholderiales; Comamonadaceae.
AUUGAACGCUGGCGGCAUGCCUUACACAUGCAAGUCGAACGGUAACAGGUCUUCGGAUGCUGACGAGUGGCGAACGGGUGAGUAAUACAUCGGAACGUGCCCGAUCGUGGGGGAUAACGAAGCGAAAGCUUUGCUAAUACCGCAUAAGAUCUACGGAUGAAAGCAGGGGACCGCAAGGCCUUGCGCGAACGGAGCGGCCGAUGGCAGAUUAGGUAGUUGGUGGGAUAAAAGCUUACCAAGCCGACGAUCUGUAGCUGGUCUGAGAGGACGACCAGCCACACUGGGACUGAGACACGGCCCAGACUCCUACGGGAGGCAGCAGUGGGGAAUUUUGGACAAUGGGCGAAAGCCUGAUCCAGCCAUGCCGCGUGCAGGAUGAAGGCCUUCGGGUUGUAAACUGCUUUUGUACGGAACGAAAAGACUCUGGUUAAUACCUGGGUCCAUGACGUACCUAAGAU